This 267-nucleotide ribosomal RNA is filed under the name uncultured bacterium. Its description in RNAcentral is "partial 16S ribosomal RNA". It matches the Rfam family "Bacterial small subunit ribosomal RNA", at positions 87 to 354 of the family's 1533-position model. The record is from RNAcentral.
CCCGGCGACCGGCGCACGGGUGAGUAACGCGUAUGCAACUUACCUAUCAGAGGGGGAUAACCCGGCGAAAGUCGGACUAAUACCGCAUGAAGCAGGGGCCCCGCAUGGGGAUAUUUGCUAAAGAUUCAUCGCUGAUAGAUAGGCAUGCGUUCCAUUAGGCAGUUGGCGGGGUAACGGCCCACCAAACCGACGAUGGAUAGGGGUUCUGAGAGGAAGGUCCCCACAUUGGUACUGAGACACGGACCAAACUCCUACGGGAGGCAGCAG